RNAcentral lists this transfer RNA (62 nucleotides) under Stygobromus tenuis potomacus. RNAcentral's name for it is "tRNA-Lys". The record is from RNAcentral. Lineage: Eukaryota; Metazoa; Arthropoda; Malacostraca; Amphipoda; Crangonyctidae.
UAUUAGAUGACUGAAAUAGUGUUAGUUUUUUAAACUUUUAAUAGUGUGAGCACUUCUAAUGU